This 358-nucleotide ribosomal RNA is filed under the name Archiborborus simplicimanus. RNAcentral describes it as "partial 12S ribosomal RNA". Lineage: Eukaryota; Metazoa; Arthropoda; Insecta; Diptera; Sphaeroceridae. The record is from RNAcentral.
AUUUAAAAUGUAUUUAUAAAUACUAAAGUAGUAUUAGUUAUGUUCUUGAAACUUAAAAAAUUUGGCGGUAUUUUAGUCUAUUCAGAGGAACCUGUUCUGUAAUCGAUAAUCCACGAUGGACCUUACUUAAAUUUGUUAAUCAGUUUAUAUACCGUCGUUAUUAGAAUAUUUUAUAAGAAUAAUAAUUUUCAUAAAAUUUUAUUAAAACAUAUAUCAGAUCAAGGUGUAGCUUAUGUUUAAGUAGAAAUGGGUUACAAUAAAUUUAUUUAUACGGAGGUAAAUAUGAAAAACUUACUGAAGGUGGAUUUGAUAGUAAAAUUAUAAAGAUUAAUAAUUUGAUUUUAGCUCUAAAAUAUGU